UACGUAGGGUGCAAGCGUUAAUCGGAAUUACUGGGCGUAAGCGUGCGCAGGCGGUUAUGCAAGACAGAUGUGAAAUCCCCGGGCUCAACCUGGGAACUGCAUUUGUGACUGCAUAGCUAGAGUGCGGCAGAGGGAGAUGGAAUUCCGCGUGUAGCAGUGAAAUGCGUAGAUAUGCGGAGGAACACCGAUGGCGAAGGCAAUCUCCUGGGCCUGCACUGACGCUCAUGCACGAAAGCGUGGGGAGCAAACAGG
Molecule: ribosomal RNA, 252 nt
Filed under: uncultured bacterium
Lineage: Bacteria
Description: partial 16S ribosomal RNA
Rfam family: Bacterial small subunit ribosomal RNA
Source: RNAcentral